CCAGAGAACUUAGCAGAGAUGCUUUUGGUGCCUUCGGGAACUCUGAGACAGGUGCUGCAUGGCUGUCGUCAGCUCGUGUUGUGAAAUGUUGGGUUAAGUCCCGCAACGAGCGCAACCCUUUAUCCUUUGUUGCCAGCGAUUCGGUCGGGAACUCAAAGGAGACUGCCGGUGAUAAACCGGAGGAAGGUGGGGAUGACGUCAAGUCAUCAUGGCCCUUACGGCCAGGGCUACACACGUGCUACAAUGGCGCAUACAAAGAGAAGCGACCUCGCGAGAGCAAGCGGACCUCAUAAAGUGCGUCGUAGUCCGGAUUGGAGUCUGCAACUCGACUCCAUGAAGUCGGAAUCGCUAGUAAUCGUAGAUCAGAAUGCUACGGUGAAUACGUUCCCGGGCCUUGUACACACCGCCCGUCACACCAUGGGAGUGGGUUGCAAAAGAAGUAGGUAGCUUAACCUUCGGGAGGGCGCUUACCACUUUGUGAUUCAUGACUGGGGUGAAGUCGUAACAAGGUAGGCGUAGAUGA
This 523-nucleotide ribosomal RNA is filed under the name uncultured bacterium. Its description in RNAcentral is "bacterial SSU rRNA". It matches the Rfam family "Bacterial small subunit ribosomal RNA", at positions 988 to 1509 of the family's 1533-position model. The record is from RNAcentral.